AAGAACGUUGGCGGCGUGGAUUAGGCAUGCAAGUCGAGCGAGAAGUUUUAAAAAGAUACUUCGGUUGAUUUUUAAAACGGACAGCGGCGAAAGGGAGAGUAACGAGUAGAUACGUACCCAAGGGUUCGGGAUAGCCAUGCGAAAGCGUGAGUAAUACCGAAUAAUGUCUCCGGACCAAAGAUUUAUCGCCCUUGGAGCGGUUUGCUUACUAUUAGCUUGUUGGUGGGGUAAAGGCCUACCAAGGCUUAGAUGGUUAGCGGGUGUGAGAGCAUGACCCGUCUCACUGGGACUGAGACACUGCCCAGACACCUACGGGUGGCUGCAGUCGAGAAUCUUCCGCAAUGGACGCAAGUCUGACGGAGCGACGCCGCGUGCUGGAUGAAGGCCCUCGGGUUGUAAACAGCUGUCGUAGGGGAGGAAAUUUUGACCGAUCCUAGGAGGAAGCACAGGCUAAGUUCGUGCCAGCAGCCGCGGUAAUACGAACUGUGCAAACGUUAUUCGGAAUCACUG
This 510-nucleotide ribosomal RNA is filed under the name uncultured bacterium. RNAcentral's name for it is "bacterial SSU rRNA". It matches the Rfam family "Bacterial small subunit ribosomal RNA", at positions 29 to 556 of the family's 1533-position model. The record is from RNAcentral.